UACGGAGGAUGCAAGCGUUAUCCGGAAUGAUUGGGCGUAAAGCGUCCGCAGGUGGCUAUGUAAGUCUGCUGUUAAAGAGUCUAGCUCAACUAGAUAAAAGCAGUGGAAACUACAUAGCUAGAGUACGUUCGGGGCAGAGGGAAUUCCUGGUGUAGCGGUGAAAUGCGUAGAGAUCAGGAAGAACACCAGUGGCGAAGGCGCUCUGCUAGGCCGUAACUGACACUGAGGGACGAAAGCUAGGGGAGCGAAUGGG
RNAcentral lists this ribosomal RNA (253 nucleotides) under uncultured bacterium. Its description in RNAcentral is "partial 16S ribosomal RNA". It matches the Rfam family "Bacterial small subunit ribosomal RNA", at positions 524 to 776 of the family's 1533-position model. The record is from RNAcentral.